UCUUGGUAAGCACCACAAAGAGAUUAACACCCACUCUUUUCCUUCCUCCAGUACCCUGUUGCCUGCUUUCAAGAGGUGAAGCCACUCUGCCUGCCAGACCACAUUUUGCUGGGCCGGAACUGGAAGAUUAAUAAAAUGUUUGGACCCAUAUGACAAUGAAUCAUUUUUGGCUGUUUCUGAAAAAAACCACUGAGAAAAUGUCAUCUCCUGAAGACUUGGUCUGACAUAAAAGAAGCUCUCUGAAUUGAAAGGAAACUGUGGUGCAUGACAUUGCUGGGAACUGCGAUUCCUCUCUUGGAAAGCUACACUUGACUGCCACUCUUUUUCCAGGAGAUUCCACAAUCCAAUUUGA
Molecule: long non-coding RNA, 352 nt
Organism: Candoia aspera
Lineage: Eukaryota; Metazoa; Chordata; Lepidosauria; Squamata; Candoiidae
Exons: 3
Source: RefSeq, a predicted model, not a curated record